GCCAAGCAGGCGAAGAUACGGAGAGGUGAAACAGGGAACAUUAAGGAAGGGAGGGGGGAAAAGCAGGGAAAAGAGGAAAAAAUGAAAAAACUCAAGCGUACGUGCGGAGGGGAGAGGCGGGGAGAAGUGCAGGGAGAAGAAGCCAGAGGAAACUUAUCUGCGACAUGACAAAGUUCAAUCCACCGCCCUCCCUCCUCUGCUGAAAGAAAAGUUGCAGCAUCUCGCCGCUCCGGGGCCCGGCCCGGCCCGGCUCUGCCCCUCUGCCCCACAGCCCCCGCGCCCGGCCCAGCCCGGUACCCCAGAGCCCCGCACCGGGGCGAUGGAGGAAACAUCCCAGCCCCGUGUACGAUUAACUGGGCGGAAGGCUCUGCCUCACAUCCUCACCGCGGAGCCAAGGAGGGGAAAGAGGAGGGGGUGUCUCCGGGCCCGUAGCAACGGCGAUGGGUCGCCUGAGAGACGGGUCGCGGCUGCAGCCAGUCCGCACCGGGCACGGCGGAAACUUUUCCUCCUUUAAAAACCGUUUCAGUUGUUUAAAGAACUCUCACGACCGGCCGACACGCUGCGACCCCGCGCCCUCCCCGGCCCGGGAGAGCAUUUUUCCCUCUUUCCCCCCCCCCCCCCCAUCACCAACCCUCCCGAAGAAAAAGAAGGAAAGAGAGAGACCCCUCUGGAGCUCGGUCAGCUCCUGCCCUUUGUGAGGGAGGGAGGGAGGGAGAGAGGGAAAGAGAGAAGGAGCGCGGCGGCGGUCCCCCCGCGGUACUUACGCCGGACUUUGCUGGGGCUGGGCUGCUUGCGCCGCGACAUGCCGGGAGGAUGGGCCGCCGGGGGGGGGCGCGGGGACGCGCCGGUGAGAACGGAGAGGGAGGGGGGUGGUGUGUGGGGUGUGUGUGGAGCGCGCACGGGAGGGAGCCGCAAAGUUGUUCCGGAAAAAGGAAUCAAAAUGGCGUUUCUGUGGAUGUGUGCAAAGUUCAUCAACUCCGCGCGAACUUCCCGUCCUCCGCGCCUCCCUGGAGGGGAGAGAUGGGCACGGUUAGGGACCCCGCCGCGCCGCGCCCGCCCCCUGCCCGCCCCCCGCGCUGCCCCGCGCACCCUGAUAAGGAGACACAUCACGUGUCGCCCCGGCUCCUCUCCCGGGGACCGCCUGUUGCACGCAGCAUCUCUCGCUCGCCCUCGCCGCGGGGAGGGGCGCCCCUCCGGACAGACAGCAGCGAGCACGGCCCCGGCCCCCCCCCCCUCCCCGCACCGGCCCGGCCUCGCCUCCGCCCGCCCCCCGGCAGCGCCGCGCCGGGAUGCCCCAGGCCGGCGGGGGGGCGGCCAGGUGCCACGCGGCGCUCCGUGACACCCCCCCCUCCCCGUCGCUCCGCGCCCGCGGGGCUCCCCCGCCCUGUCCCUCUCUUCUCUCCCGCGGGGCUCUCCGCUGUUCUCCCUCCCGAGCGUGCGUGUCCCCCGGCAGCCGGCGUGCGCUCGGCGCUGGAGCGCAUCCGGAGCGGCCGCGCAGCCGGCUGCCGGCUUUAGGAGUUCAUCGGGGCUCUCCGCUGGCCGUGGAAAUGUCUGUGCAUCAUCCUCCUCCUCCUGCCAGCCCGGCGCCUCACCAGGUACAGCGGCCGCAGGCAGGAGCCCGCCGCUCCGGUCGCAGAACUCAGCUUCUUGCGUUGGUUGGUUUGUUUUGUUUCCUUAGGAAACUUUCGUCCUUGCGCGUUUCGGGUCUCUGUGGGGGUCACUCAUCCACCCGGCUGCCGGAACCUGAAGGACGUGAAAUCCAAAGAGAGCCAGCACAUCAGCAGAGGAACCGGAGGUCCAAAUAUCCCCGUGGCUAAUCAAAGGAGACUGGGACGUUUGCAACCAGAGGUAGUUAAGAGGCUGCACAGGCGCGGUGUGUGGCACUGCACGUAUGGUCCUUCCCGGCACCGUCACUGCAGGGGAAGCUCAAAGGUGUAGAAGGCUCAACAAGUGAUGGAGAUGUGUUCAGAGUCUCGGGGAUUGCACUUUAAAGCCCGUACCGGCUUAGAGUUAUGUGACAAAUAAUAAUAACAGUACGGGAAAAUAACGUAGCUGGAAAUACUCCAUCCUGAAAGCUCGAUGGGGGAGGGGGGGGGGGGGGAAGCAAAGCAAGGGUGAGUGGGGAUAAUGGGGAUGGGAGGAACCGGUUUACACUUGAAGGAAAUGGUUAUUUGCACGAUUUCUAGAGCUAUUAAAAACCCAGGCCUUUUAAAGCUGUUACUGGUGAGAUGGAAACUGAAGUCACAGGCUGUUUCUCAAAAAAAUCAAGUCCUGGCCUGUAAGUGAAAGGCUGGUACCAGUUUACGUGGUAUCCUAUCUCCUGGUUGAAAAGGGAUUCACAUGGAAAGGAGGGCUAAAUUCCUGGUAUGUGGCAGCAAGCCCUCAACCAGCUCUUUUCACAGUCUUUUGUCUUUAAGGUGUCAUUAUUGAUUUCCUUUGAACCAUUCUUUUCAAAUACUGGAUGAAGGCAUAAGGUCAAGAACCCACAGGACCUGUCUCAAAGACAUGCGCUGUGCUUCUUGUCAGGAAUAACCCUCUUCCCUUCCAAGUGAAACACCUGCAGGUCUGGUGAUACAGAACCUGGCAAUGCCAAACGUGCAAGCCCAAGAGGUGCACACGUGUGUAUUCAGGACACGAACCUGCAGCUUUAACUUACGUGUGCUUGUUGUCGUGGCUGUUUCUGCAGGCUGAAUUUUCUGUCAGCCGGAUUUUGUGCGGUAUUAUACAUGAGCUUUGCGUAUAAAUUUCAACACUAUUCAGCUUUGUUAAAGCAGGGUUGCUGACUGACAGAACAGCUACAUAAUAGCCAAGUUUGCCGCUAAUAUUGCCUGCAAUAUUAGGGGCAAACAUUAGAAAGUGCAUUUUGAUUGUUAUGUUACAAUGUUCUUAUUUUACAAAACAAACAA
Molecule: long non-coding RNA, 2906 nt
Organism: Pezoporus occidentalis (night parrot)
Lineage: Eukaryota; Metazoa; Chordata; Aves; Psittaciformes; Psittacidae
Exons: 2
Source: RefSeq, a predicted model, not a curated record